This 442-nucleotide ribosomal RNA is filed under the name uncultured bacterium. Its description in RNAcentral is "partial 16S ribosomal RNA". It matches the Rfam family "Bacterial small subunit ribosomal RNA", at positions 338 to 795 of the family's 1533-position model. The record is from RNAcentral.
CCUACGGGAGGCAGCAGUGGGGAAUAUUGGGCAAUGGGCGCAAGCCUGACCCAGCAACGCCGCGUGAAGGAAGAAGGCUUUCGGGUUGUAAACUUCUUUUGUCAGGGAAGAGUAGAAGACGGUACCUGACGAAUAAGCCACGGCUAACUACGUGCCAGCAGCCGCGGUAAUACGUAGGUGGCAAGCGUUGUCCGGAUUUACUGGGUGUAAAGGGCGUGUAGCCGGGUUGACAAGUCAGAUGUGAAAUCCUGCGGCUUAACCGGAGAACUGCAUUUGAAACUGUUGAUCUUGAGUACUGGAGAGGCAGACGGAAUUCCUAGUGUAGCGGUGAAAUGCGUAGAUAGUAGGAGGAACACCAGUGGCGAAGGCGGUCUGCUGGACAGCAACUGACGGUGAGGCGCGAAAGCGUGGGGAGCAAACAGGAUUAGAUACCCCAGUAGUC